Molecule: non-coding RNA, 1128 nt
Organism: Pelobates cultripes (western spadefoot toad)
Lineage: Eukaryota; Metazoa; Chordata; Amphibia; Anura; Pelobatidae
Source: the annotation of a GenBank genome assembly
CAGAAUGUCAAUUUACCACAAUAAUUACACAAUACAAAACUACAACAUUACUUACAAAAGGCUAUAACAGUUGCUAGCUGUUAUAAUAGAUUACUUACACGGCUCCAGCCUGUUUGGCUGGAGCUAUACACACAGCUACAUGUUCAAUCAAUGCAAGCAAAGGAAAAAGGAGGCUCAAAAUCCUUCUACUAUUUGGUUUUAUCCAGUAAGUAGGCUGGCCUGUGAUGUCACUGCCAGAAGCACAUGAGUUAGCACACUGACCCCUAGUGGUGCCUCUAAAGCAUUAAGCUCAUUAUGCUUUUUUAUGACAAAAAGUCAUUAAUUAAUAAAUACCAUUACAAACCACCCUUUGACUUAUGUCAUAAAACAAACAUUAUAAACCCGUACAUCUUGAAUCUACCAUAUUUUAACAGUACCUGCCCUACAACAAAACCCACCUUUUGAAGAAUGAUACCCAUUUACCCGUAAAGUUAUGACACUUUAUUGCUUAUUCAAUUUUUUUUUAUUUUUUUUUUUCAUUGAGCACAUGCAUCACCAGUUGGGAAACCUUGGCCUAAAAUAAGCACAUACCCACCCUUAUAAUAACCACUGAGCACAUGCAUUAGCAGUUGGGAAACCUUGGCCUUAAAUAGGCAAAUACCCACCCUUGUAAUAAUAGACAACUCAAACCAUGUUUUAUUAGAUUAACCAAUGAUAUUGUGUUCAUGUGAGGAUGUGUUUUGGAGCUUAAUAUAGUAUUAGACACCACAAACUCAUAACACCUAUGAAUCAUGGCACAGACCGACUCGAUUUCUGUAGCCUCUGGCUGGUCUGUGUGCCUGGAAUUUUCACAAACAUUAGUUCUGGAAACUGGAUACUCUGUUCUUCGACAGUCUCAUAGAACAUACGCAUGGAGACAGGGAUGAAUGAAACAGUUCAUGAUCAAGGACUUUUGUGUGUUUGUGGUCACAUUGUUUUGUUUCUUCUUUCUUUAUACCAUUAACCACCUUGACGUAACAGUGUCCUGCUCCUGAUGCAUUUGUUCCGACUUUCACCACUCUUAGCUGCAAUAUUUUUUCUCCUUACAGCAACAGUUGAGCAUAGUGUCCAGUGCUUCUUCUUCUUCAGCUUAAAAUAUCCUUGCUUGAA